UACGUAGGGACCAAGCGUUGUUCGGAUUUACUGGGCGUAAAGGGCGCGUAGGCGGCUUGACAAGUCACUUGUGAAAUCUCCGGGCUUAACUCGGAACGGGCAAGUGAGACUGUUGUGCUAGAGUGCAGAAGGGGCAAUCGGAAUUCUUGGUGUAGCGGUGAAAUGCGUAGAUAUCAAGAGGAACACCUGAGGUGAAGACGGGUUGCUGGGCUGACACUGACGCUGAGGCGCGAAAGCUAGGGUAGCAAACGGG
Molecule: ribosomal RNA, 253 nt
Filed under: uncultured bacterium
Lineage: Bacteria
Description: partial 16S ribosomal RNA
Rfam family: Bacterial small subunit ribosomal RNA
Source: RNAcentral